Molecule: long non-coding RNA, 539 nt
Organism: Mauremys reevesii (Reeves's turtle)
Lineage: Eukaryota; Metazoa; Chordata; Testudines; Geoemydidae
Exons: 2
Source: RefSeq, a predicted model, not a curated record
AAGGCCCUGCUAGCAACCUAAUAAGACCUGCUGCUUCAGGCAGUCAGGGAGGAAGAAGGAAGGAGAGAGGACUGGAGCUUGGAGGGGUGCUGUGAGACUUAGAAGAUCAGAAAACUGGAGUAAGGGAGACCCUGCCCCAGUGUCUAAGGACUGAAGUGAACUUGGGUCACACAGAGAGAGGAGACAAGAGGAUCCAAGAAAAGAGAUUCAUCGGUGACCUUCACUCUCACCUCCACUCUGCUGAACACAGCAUGGUUUCAACCCACCAGGAGCAAUUUUUUGUAAUGGGUGAAAAGGUGAUUUUUGCUUAUAACAAAGAUGCCAGAUUGAGAGAAUCUUCAACUGACCCUUAAAAUGACAGAGAAAAAGUCUGUUUUAAUGCUUAUUUUUGGCAGGUGUGAAAUGCAGCCCAGAUAAAGUUGAAUCUUCUUAAACUGGGACAAUCUGGUGGAGAAGCCCGUUAUCCUGAUUAACUGGUUUUUUCCAAAUAAAGGAAGAGAUUUCACAAAUAAAAUCUAAAAAGCCUUCAUAUAAAUACU